RNAcentral lists this ribosomal RNA (357 nucleotides) under uncultured bacterium. RNAcentral describes it as "bacterial SSU rRNA". It matches the Rfam family "Bacterial small subunit ribosomal RNA", at positions 1051 to 1407 of the family's 1533-position model. The record is from RNAcentral.
GUCGUCAGCUCGUGUCGUGAGAUGUUGGGUUAAGUCCCGCAACGAGCGCAACCCCUAUCUUAUGUUACCAGCACUUCGGGUGGGGACUCAUGAGAGACUGCCGCAGACAAUGCGGAGGAAGGCGGGGAUGACGUCAAAUCAUCAUGCCCCUUAUGACCUGGGCUACACACGUACUACAAUGGACGAUAACAGAGGGAAGCGAAGCCGCGAGGUGAAGCGAACCCCAGAAACUCGUUCUCAGUUCGGAUUGCAGGCUGCAACUCGCCUGCAUGAAGUCGGAAUCGCUAGUAAUCGCAGGUCAGCAUACUGCGGUGAAUACGUUCCCGGGCCUUGUACACACCGCCCGUCGACGCGGCC